CAUGUGGAAGAGGAAUUAGCAUUUUAGCUGGAUCACUCAGUUGGCAUGUAGAAAUCAAAUGCUCUCUAGAGCAUUUAGGAAGCUAUUGAUACACUCCUAGUCAGAAAGGACAAGAACCUAGAGAGUGGUCUUGGGAAAGGGAGGGAAACAGGAAUUUGAGAGGUAUAUAGGAGAAGAAAUUCACAAGAUUUAGUUUCCUUAACAGUAGAUGACACACAGGAGCUAAAAGAAUGUAUAUGUAUUGUUGUCCUCUAGUGACUACCAUUCUCUUAGAGCCAGAAUCUCUAUUUGUUUCAAACUCUUGGGCCUGUCACCUUCCUAUAGAAUUCCCACAGGAUGUCAACACUUUUAUAUGGGUCCCAGGGCAAUUACAACCUUAAAUCUGAUGCCCACUCACUGAAGGACUAAUUGGUGGUGUCCUCCUUGCUGAUAACCUGCGGAUGUUGAAGGGAAAUCCAGCAGCCCAUGAUGCGGACUGAUGCUGCGGAAAUCUGGAGGCUGGUGUGGCUUGAGGGCCCCAAGUUGGACACAACCCAGAUACCCAUUGACAAGUUAACAUAAACAAAUUGUAGCAAGUGUGCACGAUGAAAUACUAUUUGGCAACGAAAAGGAAGGAACUUCUGGUCUGAGCAGCAACAUGAGGAAUCUCAGAAACAUUAUGCUGUGUGAAGAAAUCCAUGGUUUAUGGAAGAAGACUCCAUGGUUUAUCCUCUCGUUCAUAUCACUUUCUGCAAAAGGCAAACUGGAGACUUAAAGCAGAUCAGUGGUUGCCAGAGAGGAAGUAUAUGCUUCGGUGGUGGUAAACCCUGUAAGGCUCCUACAACGGUUGAGAAGGGUCUUCUUGGAGGAGCUGUCCUGAGGGCUGCAUGGGCUUCCUAGCCUGCAGAGGAAGCCACUGUCUGAUGCUUGUCUGCCUGCUUCCCAGUGAUCGCAGCUACUUCAAGAGGUGCUGUGUGGCCGAGGAGGUCUAGUCUGUCACCAGCCACCAUGGCCUCUGGCUCCUCUUCUGUGAUAACCUUCCGGCCAGAGACAUUUCACCGUCUGCCGCUAUCUGCUCGCAACCCCCUCACCAAUACACUCAUUUUCUUCUAACAUUCACGAUCCAGAAAGUUCCUAAUACUCAUCAGAAACCCUUAUUGCGGGAUCCCUGGGUGGCUCAGCGGUUUAGCGGUUUAGCGCCUGCCUGUGGCUCAGGGCGUGAUCCUGGAGUUCGGGGAUCAAGUCCCACAUCAGGCUCCCUGCAGGGAGUCUGCUUCUCCCUCUGCCUGUGUCUCUGCCUCUUUCUCUCUUUCUGUGUCUCUUGUGAAUCUUAAAAAAAUAAAAUAAAAGAAAGCCUUAUUGCUGUAGUGCAAAUCCAUUUCCUUGACCAGAAGCAAAGACGAGCCAUUCUCGAACUCUUUGAGUCUACACAUCCCUGCAUUUCUUAAACAAAUUCUCAGAAUGCUAUCAAAUAAGCUAAUGAGGAGCCUUGUAAAAAUGAGAAUAAUUUCUGUCUCUCUAUCCUAAUUUACAUUUGUCCAUUUCCUGAUGUUCCAUUCUGUUAAACUUUAAUUUGCUCCCCUCUUAUCCCAAGCCUUUCAGAGUCUCACAUAGGAGAUUUUGUUCAGAGUCGAGUCUCCAGGGCUCUAAUGGGUUACACUUAUGGGCAGGCAAGAUGCAUUUUGUCCCUGAAGUGAUCUCUAGAUUGCCCACCCAACUUCUCAGGGUAUACUGGCAUGGGCUGGCAUGAUGGAGAAGCA
Long non-coding RNA from Canis lupus familiaris (dog), 1739 nucleotides. RefSeq lists it as uncharacterized. NCBI's taxonomy places the organism in Eukaryota, Metazoa, Chordata, Mammalia, Carnivora, Canidae. The transcript is spliced from 3 exons. The record is from RefSeq and is a predicted model, not a curated record.